Molecule: unclassified non-coding RNA, 205 nt
Filed under: Hevea brasiliensis (rubber tree)
Lineage: Eukaryota; Viridiplantae; Streptophyta; Magnoliopsida; Malpighiales; Euphorbiaceae
Source: RNAcentral
GAAGGCUGGAGUUCUCUCUCUUUCUCGGUCCCUCUUAUUCUUCAAGGUGAGGCCGAGAGAGCAGAGGGCUGAGUGUUUCGUUCGUGAGAGCCAGCAGUGGAGUAUGGGGACAGUCGACAUUGGAGCUUGCAUUGGUGAUGUGUAGCCGGAGGGGGUUUGAAUAUCAAAGAGGAGUAGUUGCAGCUUGGUGAUAUCAUUGUUGAGG